AUCACUCUGUUCACCACGUCCACGUACUUAUAUGUUGACACAUUUUCUGCACAAUGUGGUCGGGGUUUUAAUCUCCGUGGUUUUAUGAGCUUUCUUUGCUGAUUGGCCUUUUUUCUGCAAUUAAAGUAAAAAAGCGUAAUUUGUUUUCUCCGGUGCUCUAAGUUCAAUCGAAGAUGGCGUCGAAACGGCAAGCUCUCCGCGAGCAUGUUGCACGGAACGCCUAACGUGCCGAAAGAAAAGAACUCGACCAAUUUGCCCCAGUGCCGGCCUAUUGAGGAUUUUUUUUCGGUUCCCUUAGUGACCUAGUGUACAAAAAUAAUUGCGUGCCAAGGAUACGAAGCAGAUGACCACGAGGAUCCGUAAUUGAAUCCGAAACAUGGACGUUAGUGCCGUCCAGCUCUCUUGUAAGAGCAUCGCGACUAAGUUGCGUCGUACGGCUGAUCAGGGCCCCUUCUCCAAUAUUCUUUGAAGUUUUUUUUUUAAGAAUAAAAAUUAUGUUUUUAAUCCAGCUUUUUACACAAGCUUGCUAUAAACUUUGAAUCACCCCUUUUUUGACAUUUCUUGCCUACACUCUGAUAUGUUUAUGGUUCAAUGGAAGCAAGCUUUGCGAUCUUGAAAAUUGUUCAUGUUGAUGCAUAGGAACGUCAAAAAAUAUAUUCUUGAUAUCAGUAAACGAAAAUCUUAAAAUAUAGGUAUCCUUUGUUUUCUGUGUUUAUUACUUUUUGCCAUUUUAGGUUAAUGAUAUGCGAUCAUCACAGGUUCUGAACUGAACCACUUUAAUAAGUGUUAUGAACUAUACAGAAAAUUUGACGCCAAAAUAAAUGGAGCUGCCCAUAAGCGACGAAGAUAAUGAUUUGUAGGAUGUUUGAAAAUUUAUUUGGAAUGUAAUUUUCGAUUUAUCCACUUUCUCCGUGAAGUUUACUGGAUGUUAUAAAAUACAUAACGGCCGACUUGGGUUUGGAUAUAUCAGAUUAUCCGAGCCAAUAACGAUAGUUUUUCAUAUUCUUUCGAAUUCCGUUAUCUCCAUUAAUUUAAUCACAAAACGCGUUUCUUGUGUGGAU
Molecule: long non-coding RNA, 1061 nt
Organism: Aedes aegypti (yellow fever mosquito)
Lineage: Eukaryota; Metazoa; Arthropoda; Insecta; Diptera; Culicidae
Exons: 2
Source: RefSeq, a predicted model, not a curated record